UUACUUAAUGAGGUAAUAUUAAAAACUAAAACAUUGCGAUUAAUUGAGAGUCCCCCGGCAGCCUUGUGCUCCGCACAAGCAAGGAAUUUUCUCAUCCUCUAAUGGAAAUUUAUAAUCACUCUAUAGUUAUGACCUUAGCAUAGCAGUUGGGCUGUAAAAAAAACGAAUUAAUUCCAUUAAGGAGAAAGUAUCAUACAUACAAAUACUUACGUUACAACUGUGAUUAAUAAAGCGAGCUAAAUUACCACACUUUGUGGCAUCAAUAA
Long non-coding RNA from Anastrepha obliqua, 266 nucleotides. RefSeq lists it as uncharacterized. The transcript has 2 exons. Lineage: Eukaryota; Metazoa; Arthropoda; Insecta; Diptera; Tephritidae. The record is from RefSeq and is a predicted model, not a curated record.